Molecule: ribosomal RNA, 627 nt
Filed under: uncultured bacterium
Lineage: Bacteria
Description: bacterial SSU rRNA
Rfam family: Bacterial small subunit ribosomal RNA (bases 1-522)
Source: RNAcentral
CCUACGGGAGGCAGCAGUGGGGAAUCUUGCGCAAUGGGCGAAAGCCUGACGCAGCCAUGCCGCGUGAAUGAUGAAGGUCUUAGGAUUGUAAAAUUCUUUCACCGGGGACGAUAAUGACGGUACCCGGAGAAGAAGCCCCGGCUAACUUCGUGCCAGCAGCCGCGGUAAUACGAAGGGGGCUAGCGUUGCUCGGAAUUACUGGGCGUAAAGGGAGCGUAGGCGGAUAGUUUAGUCAGAGGUGAAAGCCCAGGGCUCAACCUUGGAAUUGCCUUUGAUACUGGCUAUCUUGAGUAUGGGAGAGGUUAGCGGAACUCCGAGUGUAGAGGUGAAAUUCGUAGAUAUUCGGAAGAACACCAGUGGCGAAGGCGGCUAACUGGCCCAUUACUGACGCUGAGGCUCGAAAGCGUGGGGAGCAAACAGGAUUAGAUACCCUGGUAGUCCACGCCGUAAACGAUGAGUGCUAGUUGUCGGCAUGCAUGCAUGUCGGUGGUACGCGACGCUAACGACAUUAAGUACACCUCCGCCGUCGGGGAGGUACGGUCCGGCGAAGAAUUAAAACUUAAAAUUAAGUAAGUUAGUACGGCGUGAGACGUCGCCGAACGGACGACCGACCGAGGGGAGGUUAGG